CACACUGGGACUGAGACACGGCCCAGACUCCUACGGGAGGCAGCAGUGGGGAAUAUUGCACAAUGGGCGCAAGCCUGAUGCAGCGACGCCGCGUGAGGGAUGACGGCCUUCGGGUUGUAAACCUCUUUCAGUAGGGAAGAAGCGAAAGUGACGGUACCUGCAGAAGAAGCGCCGGCUAACUACGUGCCAGCAGCCGCGGUAAUACGUAGGGCGCAAGCGUUAUCCGGAAUUAUUGGGCGUAAAGAGCUCGUAGGCGGUUUGUCGCGUCUGCCGUGAAAGUCCGGGGCUCAACUCCGGAUCUGCGGUGGGUACGGGCAGACUAGAGUGAUGUAGGGGAGACUGGAAUUCCUGGUGUAGCGGUGAAAUGCGCAGAUAUCAGGAGGAACACCGAUGGCGAAGGCAGGUCUCUGGGCAUUAACUGACGCUGAGGAGCGAAAGCAUGGGGAGCGAACAGGAUUAGAUACCCUGGUAGUCCAUGCCGUAAACGUUGGGCACUAGGUGUGGGGGACAUUCCACGUUUUCCGCGCCGUAGCUAACGCAUUAAGUGCCCCGCCUGGGGAGUACGGCCGCAAGGCUAAAACUCAAAGGAAUUGACGGGGGCCCGCACAAGCGGCGGAGCAUGCGGAUUAAUUCGAUGCAACGCGAAGAACCUUACCAAGGCUUGACAUGGACCGGACCGCCGCAGAAAUGUGGUUUCCCCUUUGGGGCUGGUUUACAGGUGGUGCAUGGUUGUCGUCAGCUCGUGUCGUGAGAUGUUGGGUUAAGUCCCGCAACGAGCGCAACCCUCGUUCUAUGUUGCCAGCACGUGAUGGUGGGGACUCAUAGGAGACUGCCGGGGUCAACUCGGAGGAAGGUGGGGACGACGUCAAAUCAUCAUGCCCCUUAUGUCUUGGGCUUCACGCAUGCUACAAUGGCCGGUACAAAGGGUUGCGAUACUGUGAGGUGGAGCUAAUCCCAAAAAGCCGGUCUCAGUUCGGAUUGGGGUCUGCAACUCGACCCCAUGAAGUCGGAGUCGCUAGUAAUCGCAGAUCAGCAACGCUGCGGUGAAUACGUUCCCGGGCCUUGUACACACCGCCCGUCAAGUCACGAAAGUUGGUAACACCCGAAGCCGGUGGCCUAACCCCUUGUGGGAGGGAG
This 1137-nucleotide ribosomal RNA is filed under the name Arthrobacter pascens. RNAcentral's name for it is "bacterial SSU rRNA". It matches the Rfam family "Bacterial small subunit ribosomal RNA", at positions 309 to 1452 of the family's 1533-position model. Lineage: Bacteria; Bacillati; Actinomycetota; Actinomycetes; Micrococcales; Micrococcaceae. The record is from RNAcentral.